GGAGACUCAGCAUUGCUACAGCUUGUUGCUAUUUAAGUGUGCUGUAGCAAAAGGAUUUAAUCAGGUGUGUCCUUAAAUAUUGCCUAUUAGUGUUUCCUCUUAUAUUAAGAUCUGAAUGUUUUCUAAGAAUUACAAUUUCCCAGCAGUUACGCAAAUGAGGUUAAAUCAUCACUUGCAACUGUGUAUAAAAAGCUCCGCUGUCAGUACUGCAUUACCACAAUCAUCCACAUCUCUGAGACAGUCUGCUGAAGUUGUGAAGACCUGACGGUAACAUUUCUCAUCAAUCUCUUAUUGCUUCUGUGUUUUCAGUGUAAUGUUGGUGGAAUGGUGAUUUUGCAGAUGGUUUUGACCACAUCUCAUCAGAAUUAUUGUUAACAGGUGAAAUAACUGAAACCAUGAUCAAGGUUGUGUUUCUGCUUGGAUGCCUGCUGAGCCUUGCUCUGGCAAAUCCUGUAAGUGUAGCACACGAGCGCGAUGCACGUUCUUCAUCUGGGGAGGGGACUAUUGGGACCCUAAAUCGUCUUACCCUGCUUUUACCUCUUCUACAGAAUCCAACACUUCUGCAGAAUUCAACACUCCUUGCAGCUAUUCUUGCUGCUAUACGAUAAGCUGCUUCUUAACCAACAGCUAUUACACCACAAAGGAUGAAUUGAAAAUGAACAAACAAUGAAUAAAAACCUAUGUUGAAUACCAUUGUGAAUUUCAUAAUUUAUUCACGCAGAUUGAAUUGCACUGGGAUUUAAAAAAAAAAAUAUUUACAGGAUUAUUGAGUGACUCGGUCUUACAAAGAGUUUAAAAAAAAGAUUAUUCUUGUUAAUAUGAAUAAAACCUCCUUGUUCAUUGCAGUUUCUCCCGAAUCAACCAGAUCAAUCAACAGAGUAUGCAUUAUCACAGAAUAUGUAGCAUAUUAAUAGAUACCUAUGUUUCUUAUAAACCAAACUGUAGAGAAAAGAUUAAGGCUUGCCUGGACAGGUAGGCAAUGAGGCGCUGACCACAGACUGCAUCGGGUGGGUUUAAGCAUUGGGGGGGAGGGUGGACACUCCAACUCGAGAGAGAGUGUCCUUUCACCCAGUUUAAGCAAAAGUCAACAAUCCCCUAGCCGACACAGGUGACCUUGAGGAAGUAGGAGGAUAGCGUUGUUCCUGCUUCGGCCUUGGUCUUGGCUUCCAGCUGGCGAGGGGGGACUGCACAACACCACAAUAUUGCUACAGUCCACUUCAUUCUGUAAGAUAGUAUGCAGUAUGCUGAUACUACACUGCUUUUCUAUACUAUAUAUAUUAUAUACUAUACUAUAUAUUAGGACACAGUUUAGGACACUGACGUAGCAUAGUCUCUGUUAUAGUACGCACACUGUUCACUGUUAUAGUAUAUUCAGAGCACUACGCUUCCACUGCUGUAAAUAUAUUAAUAGUACUCUGUCGAUCUGUUUACCACACCUCGAUAUAUCUGUAUACAUGUAGCACAUUUGUAUAUUUUUUCAUAGUACAUCUGUACAUCUGUGCUUGCCUGACUACCAUAGGACUCAGAUUCUUUAGUUGUUCUGCCCCAAGACUUUGAAAUGCACUUCCACCAGAUCUCCAGACCACAAAGUCUUUCACCACUUUUAAGUCACGUCUCAAAACCUAUCCAUUUAAAAUUGCAUACACCUGAUUCUGUCUUAGUCCAUUUUUACGUUGCUCAGCUUUUAUACUUGCUUUUAUACUUUCAUGGUUUUUCUCUCUCUUAUUUACCUUAUGUCUAAAUUUUAUUUUGCCAUGUUUUAUUAUAUUGUAUUGUUUGCUAUUGUUCUCGUGCUAUUGUAAGGUGACCAUGAGGGUCUUAAAGGCGCCUAGAAAUAAAAUGUAUUAUUAUUAUCAUUAUUAUUAUUAUUAAUAUAUCUUCCCAUCUGUAUAGCAAUUUAGAACAUCUGUAUGUUACACAGAUCAUCUGUAUAUCUGUACAUAUGCUUAUAUCAGUACAUCAGUAUAUUUGUUCUCUGUAUAGCAAUAUAAACAUCUGUAUACUUAUUUGUACAUAAUCUGUUCAUAACUAUUCCCACCUUUUAUACUACCCUUAUAUGUAUAUAUCUGUACAUUUGUCCAUGCAAAUUGUAUUUCGUUACCCUGUAUUUACACAUAUUCAGUGACAAUAAAGUUUGAAUCCUAUCCUAUCCUACCCUAUAUUAUAGUGAUUAUAGUGAUACUCCUUCCUUUUUGGGGGAGAACAAGGU
Molecule: long non-coding RNA, 2209 nt
Filed under: Oreochromis niloticus (Nile tilapia)
Lineage: Eukaryota; Metazoa; Chordata; Actinopteri; Cichliformes; Cichlidae
Description: lncRNA (ENSONIG00000033944.1)
Source: RNAcentral